RNAcentral lists this ribosomal RNA (325 nucleotides) under Leucon nathorsti. RNAcentral's name for it is "partial small subunit ribosomal RNA". The record is from RNAcentral. Lineage: Eukaryota; Metazoa; Arthropoda; Malacostraca; Cumacea; Leuconidae.
UUCCUUAAACCUAAAAAAUUUGGCGGCCUAUGAUAAAAUAAGAGGAGCUUGCCGCCUAAACGACGAUCCUCRAAUAUCUUACCUGGGUUUAAUGGCCUGUAUACCGCCAUCCAKAGUACACUARUAAUGUAUCUUCRUAAUAUAUUGAUCUAAAAUGUUAGGUCAAGGUGCAGCUUAUGCCCAGGUCGCGGUUAYCUACAAUGUUGUAGACUGUAGAUAGGGCACAUGUAAACCCCCGUGAAAGAGGAUUUUAGUGUAAUCUUUCCGAAUAGGGCCCAAGUGACARGAGUACCGCARGUGUACAUAUCGCCCGUCRCUCGCGGGA